This 380-nucleotide unclassified non-coding RNA is filed under the name Hevea brasiliensis (rubber tree). Lineage: Eukaryota; Viridiplantae; Streptophyta; Magnoliopsida; Malpighiales; Euphorbiaceae. The record is from RNAcentral.
GAAAAUCAGAAGCAAAUGCUGGCAGAGUUGCAGAAUCUAAGGAAUGAACAUUCAACUUGCCUUUAUACCUUAUCGAGUAGCAAAGCUGAAAUGGAAUUACUGCAACAAGAUAUGAGUCAACGUGUGUUACAGCUUGCUGAUGAGAGACGUGAUUUGGAUGCACUUAAUAAGGAGCUUGAGAUGAGAGCCGCUACUUCAGAAGCAGCUCUGAAAAGAGCCCGCCUGAAUUAUUCUAUUGCAGUAGAUAAGCUGCAAAAGGAUUUGGAGCUUCUUUCCUCACAGGUUGUAUCCAUGUUUGAGACUAAUGAGAACCUCAUCAAGCAAGCAAUCCCAGAACCUUCACAAUCACAAUUCCUUGGGUAUGCAGAUGUUGUUCAGAA